This 464-nucleotide ribosomal RNA is filed under the name uncultured delta proteobacterium. RNAcentral describes it as "bacterial SSU rRNA". It matches the Rfam family "Bacterial small subunit ribosomal RNA", at positions 338 to 795 of the family's 1533-position model. Lineage: Bacteria; Deltaproteobacteria. The record is from RNAcentral.
CCUACGGGUGGCAGCAGUGGGGAAUCUUGCGCAAUGGGCGAAAGCCUGACGCAGCGACGCCGCGUGAGCGAUGAAGGCCUUCGGGUUGUAAAGCUCUGUGGAGGGGGACGAAUAAGGGCAAGCUAAUACCUUGUCUGAUGACGGUACCCCUUUAGCAAGCACCGGCUAACUCUGUGCCAGCAGCCGCGGUAAGACAGAGGGUGCAAACGUUGUUCGGAAUUACUGGGCGUAAAGCGCGUGUAGGCUGUUCAGAAAGUCGGAUGUGAAAGCCCCGGGCUCAACCUGGGAAGUGCAUUCGAAACUUCUGAGCUGGAGUCUUGGAGAGGAAGGCGGAAUUCUCGGUGUAGAGGUGAAAUUCGUAGAUAUCGAGAGGAACACCGGUGGCGAAGGCGGCCUUCUGGACAAUGACUGACGCUGAGACGCGAAAGCGUGGGGAGCAAACAGGAUUAGAUACCCCAGUAGUC